Gossypium hirsutum (cotton) is the source of this 107-nucleotide non-coding RNA. Lineage: Eukaryota; Viridiplantae; Streptophyta; Magnoliopsida; Malvales; Malvaceae. The record is from Rfam.
AAUCCACGGUGAUAGCACCUUCUCAAUAAAUCCUUAUACCUCUCCCAUGCAUCAUAAAGGGUUUCUAAAUCCAUUUGCAAGAAAGAAUAUAUAUCAUUCCUCAACUU